RNAcentral lists this ribosomal RNA (510 nucleotides) under Salmonella enterica. RNAcentral describes it as "partial 23S ribosomal RNA". Lineage: Bacteria; Pseudomonadati; Pseudomonadota; Gammaproteobacteria; Enterobacterales; Enterobacteriaceae. The record is from RNAcentral.
AGUGGAAGCGUCUGGAAAGGCGCGCGAUACAGGGUGACAGCCCCGUACACAAAAGCGCAUGUGCUGUGAGCUCGAUGAGUAGGGCGGGACACGUGGUAUCCUGUCUGAAUAUGGGGGGACCAUCCUCCAAGGCUAAAUACUCCUGACUGACCGAUAGUGAACCAGUACCGUGAGGGAAAGGCGAAAAGAACCCCGGCGAGGGGAGUGAAAAAGAACCUGAAACCGUGUACGUACAAGCAGUGGGAGCACAGGUUUACCUGUGUGACUGCGUACCUUUUGUAUAAUGGGUCAGCGACUUAUAUUCUGUAGCAAGGUUAACCGWAUAGGGGAGCCGKAGGGAAACCGAGUCUUAACYGGGCGUUAAGUUGCAGGGUAUAGACCCGAAACCCGGUGAUCUAGCCAUGGGCAGGUUGAAGGUUGGGUAACACUAACUGGAGGACCGAACCGACUAAUGUUGAAAAAUUAGCGGAUGACCUGUGGCUGGGGGUGAAAGGCCAAUCAAACCGGGAG